Small nucleolar RNA from Pistacia vera, 107 nucleotides. The record is from RefSeq and is a predicted model, not a curated record. Lineage: Eukaryota; Viridiplantae; Streptophyta; Magnoliopsida; Sapindales; Anacardiaceae.
UAUCUAUGAUGUGGACAUUGAACUAAAAACAAUUUAAAACGUUCCCAAGCCUCAUGGAGCAACUCACCUUCUAUUUGAGUAUAGGUAGCAAUCUUACCAUGUAGUUU